This 65-nucleotide transfer RNA is filed under the name Austropallene bucera. Its description in RNAcentral is "tRNA-Leu". Lineage: Eukaryota; Metazoa; Arthropoda; Pycnogonida; Pantopoda; Callipallenidae. The record is from RNAcentral.
ACCAAUGAAACAUUUAUUAAUGUAUUAAUUUUAGGGAUUAAAGAAAGGGUUAAUCCUCUUUGGUA